UGCCCGCCUCCCCUAAUGUCGCUGCUCCAUGCUCUCAUGCUUAAUCACAGGACUGCCUAGGACCUCAGUGUUAUUUUGGAGGGGCUUUGGUGCGUUUUGCGCGAGUGAGGGGACCAUCAGCAGGCAGCACAGGUGGGAAGGAUCUUUUACGACGCUGCGGUAUAGAUGAUUGAACACUUGGAGCACCCACUCAGUGCAAUCAGCCACUGGCGGGUCCUCCUCCUCAGAAUAUUGAGAUUCAGCGCACUUUUGGGGAGGUGAACAACUCAAGGAAAUCAUUUUUUGAAACAGCGUGGAGGAUGUAAUGUUUUCUUUUGCGCACCGGUAAUCGGACUACCACUGGAGCAAAUCAACCUUUUUUCCUCCCACUUGCUCCAGACAGACAUUUCUGUUCUUAAAAGGAAAUAAGGCGCGGAGAAAUGAGCUUCACAGCCCCAUUUGGAUUGUGAGCUGUUUUUAUUUUUCUUAAGUGCCCCCCCCCCCCCCCCCCCCUUCUUUCUCCUCUGCGUGCUCUUUCAUGGCAUCGCUGACCAGGUCGGCCAGACGCAAAGACGCCAGUCGCUGGCCGAGGAUGUCGUCAACUUUCUGGGCUUUUGUGCUCCUCACCGCGCUCUUGGUUCUCUACUGCGGCCAGCUGGCAGCGGGGACAUGUGAAAUUGUGACGCUGGACAGGGACAGCAGCCAACCGCGGCGGACCAUCGCCAGGCAGACGGCCCGCUGCGCCUGCAAGAAGGGCCAGAUCGCGGGAACCACGAGAGCCAGACCCGCCUGCGUGGACGCCGCCAUUGUCCGGAAAAAGCAGUGGUGCGAGAUGGUGCCGUGUUUGGAGGACGAAGGCUGCGACCUGUUAGUCAAUAAAUCCGGCUGGACUUGUACGCAGCCCGGAGGCCGAGUCAAGACGACCACGGCUCUAUGACGCGACAAGACUCUCCCCCCACACCCCGGCGCUACGGAGAGCACCGACGACCCCCUCGACAGGCACCCGGACACGACCCGCCGCCACCGAACCGCCGCUAUCACGAGCCCGCCCUUUUCCCCGGAAGCACUCCACCCUGCGCCGCGGUCCUCGCGGAGAGAGAAAGGUCUCCUAACACCAUGACAGCACCAGAGAGGGAGUGUUUGUGGGACACCUCCCCCCCCCCCCCCCCCAAUCUCUCCAGGACAUCGGGUAAACCACUCGCAGUCAAAUACUGUUCCCUGCCAGCGACUCCACAGGAUUUGUGACUUCUCCCACCCGGUGCGUGUCGUCGGGUCAACAGGGUCGCCCGCUCUCCGCUUCCGCCCGCUCCGUCCAAUUAGCAGCUUUUGCCCGUCGCCGUCCCGUCGGAAGCCCUCGGAAUCGCUUUAACUAAAGGUGUGAGUUCCCUGCAUUUUUUCACCAUUGUAGAACAUCAGCGGGGCGCUAGGAUCCUUUGGAGAAGCGAACGCUCUCCGCUACGAAUAGGCCUUCUGUCGGAGCGAACCUCCCAUAUUUUUACAGACCAAAGAUGAAAAGAACAAAGGCGCGGGGACCGACCGACCGAGCGGGCAGUCGCCGCCGGCGUCCCCGCCGAGAGACCCGCGAACACUUUGCGUCGGCCGGCGGACGCACGGAUCAAAGGAGUACUUUUGACCAUUUCCUGACUUUUUUUUUUUUUUUUUUUUUUUUUCCCCCGUCAGACUGAGUCCAACACUGUACUUUGAAACUGGAUAUUUGGGUACUACGUGCAUAUAAGUACGUACGAAGGGGGGGAGAAAAGAAAAAGACGUGACGAUCGAGACAGCUGUCGUGUUGGCGAAAGAAGAAAGUUGUGUGUGUAGGGGUGAGGGUGGGGGGGGGGGGGGGUGAGCUUACGAAAAAACGGCGUGAGAAAAUGUCAUUAAAUGUAUUUUGAAAGGCCCUAAAAGUUAUAUAUUUAACAGUUUUUCUAUGUUGUACCUUUGUAGAGGAGCUUAUUGGAGUCGUGGUCUCAAUGACAAUUAGGAUGUGAACAAACGCCGUCGUCGACGUUACCGCCGGCGCUCGUAGUUUGGGAUUUUUCAGUUCGCGCCUCGCUAGCUGCUUUCUUUUCACGCUCAUUUCCACAUCGCUGUCAGGCAAAAAAGAAUCCUGAGGACUGACCUUGUCGCCAACUUAACAUUGUAAAUGUAUAGUAGUCAGCGGAAGCCAUUGAAGACUGCUAAUUUGCUAUGAUAUUGUAUUGUACACAAUGUGGAAUACUGACUCAUUUCCUCUGGA
Molecule: RNA transcript, 2218 nt
Organism: Phyllopteryx taeniolatus (common seadragon)
Lineage: Eukaryota; Metazoa; Chordata; Actinopteri; Syngnathiformes; Syngnathidae
Gene: tafa5a
Gene name: TAFA chemokine like family member 5a
Exons: 5
Source: RefSeq, a predicted model, not a curated record